Long non-coding RNA from Felis catus (domestic cat), 1866 nucleotides. RefSeq lists it as uncharacterized. NCBI's taxonomy places the organism in Eukaryota, Metazoa, Chordata, Mammalia, Carnivora, Felidae. The transcript has 2 exons. The record is from RefSeq and is a predicted model, not a curated record.
GGCUCCAGGCUGUCAGCUGUCUGCACAGAGCCUGACGCUGGACCCAAACUCAUGGACCAUGAGAUCAUGACCUGAGCCAACGUUGGACACUUAACCGAUUGAGCCACCCAGGCACCCCUAUUUCUCCUAUUCUUAAGCUAACAACAGAUAUCAGGAACUACUUUGGGAUACUUCCAAUGACAGAAAAGGUCUGUCUUAAACAGAGAGAUGGCGUAGCAUAAAGAACUGAUAUGGGGGCUCUCUAAGAUCGAAGUUCUAAUAUCAGCUUUGCCACUUCUAAGCUUCUGACCUUGAGUAAGUCACUUUUCAUUGUCUCAUUUUCAUCAUUUAUGGAACGGGAAUAAAUUGCUGUGCAGAUCAGGGAUACUUACUACAUAUUUAUUUGUUUAUUUGCCCUAUUUCUAAAAAGAUUAUGUUAGAUUUUACUAAAUAUAGAGGUAUAAAAACAAUGAUCAUAACAGGAAAAAAAAGUUAAUUUCUUGUAAGAAUUCCCAACUAAGAAAAGCUUGAGCUUUUAAGCUUUCUAGCAAUCAGCACAAAGAAGGACUGAAUUAUACAGCUCUCAUUUUUUUUGUAGAAGGAAUAUACAAGUAGAGAAAAAGUUUUACCUAAUUCUAAGCUUUAACGAUAAUGUAUCAUGUGAAGUUCUGUUUUGUUUUGUUUUGUUUGUUUUUUUGACAGAGAAAAAGAGAGCGCGUGCGCACACACACGUGUUAGCUGGGGAGGGACAGAGGGAGAGGGAAAGAGAAAAUCCCAGGUAGCCUCCGUGCUGUACAGACUUGAGGCUUGAUCUCACGACCAUGAAAUCAUGAGCUGAGCCAGAAUCAAGAGGGGGACACUUAACCGACUGAGCUACCCAAGCAGUGCAGUUUUAUAAGAACAUGUAAUUAUUUAUUGAAAUAAUGAGUGCAAAAAUGAUAGCUUGGGAUUUUAACUUUGUUUAAUACUGAAAUAUGUAUUAAUAUCAGUGUUUGGGGUUUUUUUGAAGAGUUUAGAAUUCAUAAAGCAAAAUAUCAGUGAGCAAUAUUUAAUAUAUUUCAACAUUUUAAUAUCUAAAUGUGUUAUAAAAUAUCAAUAUCAUUUAUGAAAACAAAUUUUGCUAUGAAAAAGGCAGAUGGUGAGUAAAAACAAGGAUGUGGAAAAAUUGGAACCCUCAUAAACUGCUGGUGGGGAUGUAAAAUGGCACAACCAUUUUGAAACAGAGUUACUAUAUGAUCCAGCAAUUCCACUCCUAGGUAUAUACCCCAGAGCAAUGAAAACCUAUAUCUAUAUAAAAAUGUAUAUACAAAUAUUUAUAGCACCAUAAUUCAUAAUAGCCAAAAAAUGUCCAUCAACUGAUGAAUGGAUAAACAAAAUGUAGUGUAUCUAAACAGUGGGAUAUUAUUCAGAAAGAAAUAAGAAAGAAGAAAUAAGUAAGAAAUACUGAUGAGAAGUACUGAUAUAUACUACAAUUUGGAUGGACCUUGAAAACAUUCUAAAUGGGAAAAGCCAGUCACAAGAGGUCAUAUAUUGUAUAAUUCCAUUUAUAUGAAAAGUCCAGAAUAGGCAAUUCAUGCAGACAAAAAGUAGGUUAGUAGUAGUUUCCAAAGGCUGGUGGGGCUAGGGGAAGAAGGGUGGGUGAUGGGGAAUGACUGCUAAUGUGUACAAGAUUUCUUUUGGGGGUGAUGAAAAUGUUGCAAAAUUAAUUGUGGUGAUGGUUGCACAACUCUGUGAAUAUACUAAAAAACACUGAGCCAGUUAGAUGAGUUAAUUGCAUGUUAUAUGACUUGUACCUCAAUAAAGCUGUUUUAAAAAACAAAUGUUAAACAUGCUAAUAUGUUAAUAUAAAUUAGCAAAUAAAUUUUAAUAAAGUAUUAUUUGAUCGUU